CAGCAGCCACGGUAAUACAGAGGGUGCGAUCGUUAAUCGGAUUUACUGUGCGUAAAGCGUGCGUAGGCGGCUUCUUAAGUCGGAUGUAAAAUCCCUGAGCUUAACUUAGGAAUUGCAUUCGAUACUGGGAAGCUAGAGUAUGGGAGAGGAUGGUAGAAUUCCAGGUGUAGCGGUGAAAUGCGUAGAGAUCUGGAGGAAUACCGAUGGCGAAGGCAGCCAUCUGGCCUAAUACUGACGCUGAGGUACGAAAGCAUGGGGAGCAAACAGGAUUAGAUACCCGUGUAGUCCCUGUCUCUUAUAC
RNAcentral lists this ribosomal RNA (301 nucleotides) under uncultured bacterium. RNAcentral's name for it is "partial 16S ribosomal RNA". It matches the Rfam family "Bacterial small subunit ribosomal RNA", at positions 509 to 807 of the family's 1533-position model. The record is from RNAcentral.